Molecule: transfer RNA, 72 nt
Filed under: Phalacrocorax carbo (great cormorant)
Lineage: Eukaryota; Metazoa; Chordata; Aves; Suliformes; Phalacrocoracidae
Description: tRNA-Lys
Source: RNAcentral
CAUUAAGAAGCUAUGCAACAGCACUAGCCUUUUAAGCUAGAAAUAGAGGGAGUACUACACCCUCCUUAAUGA